Molecule: transfer RNA, 70 nt
Filed under: Ictidomys tridecemlineatus (thirteen-lined ground squirrel)
Lineage: Eukaryota; Metazoa; Chordata; Mammalia; Rodentia; Sciuridae
Description: Spermophilus tridecemlineatus (thirteen-lined ground squirrel) tRNA
Rfam family: tRNA
About the family: Transfer RNA (tRNA) molecules are approximately 80 nucleotides in length. Their secondary structure includes four short double-helical elements and three loops (D, anti-codon, and T loops).
Source: Rfam by way of RNAcentral
GGGGGUGUAGCUCAAUGGUAGAGCACUUGCCUUGCAUGCAUAAGACCCUGAGUUCAAUCCCUGGCACCCA